UACGUAGGGUGCGAGCGUUUAAUCGGAAUUACUGGGCGUAAAGCGUGCGCAGGCGGUUUUGUAAGCCGGAUGUGAAAUCCCCGGGCUUAACCUGGGAAUGGCAUUCGGGACUGCAAGGCUGGAGUGCGGCAGAGGAGACUGGAAUUCCUGGUGUAGCAGUGGAAAUGCGUAGAUAUCAGGAGGAACACCGAUGGCGAAGGCAGGUCUCUGGGCUGACACUGACGCUCAUGCACGAAAGCGUGGGGAGCAAACAGG
This 255-nucleotide ribosomal RNA is filed under the name uncultured bacterium. RNAcentral's name for it is "partial 16S ribosomal RNA". It matches the Rfam family "Bacterial small subunit ribosomal RNA", at positions 524 to 776 of the family's 1533-position model. The record is from RNAcentral.